GAUGAACGCUGGCGGCGUGCCUAAUACAUGCAAGUCGAGCGAACGGACGAGAAGCUUGCUUUUCUGAUGUUAGCGGCGGACGGGUGAGUAACACGUGGAUAACCUACCUAUAAGACUGGGAUAACUUCGGGAAACCGGAGCUAAUACCGGAUAAUAUUUUGAACCGCAUGGUUCAAAAGUGAAAGACGGUCUUGCUGUCACUUAUAGAUGGAUCCGCGCUGCAUUAGCUAGUUGGUAAGGUAACGGCUUACCAAGGCAACGAUGCAUAGCCGACCUGAGAGGGUGAUCGGCCACACUGGAACUGAGACACGGUCCAGACUCCUACGGGAGGCAGCAGUAGGGAAUCUUCCGCAAUGGGCGAAAGCCUGACGGAGCAACGCCGCGUGAGUGAUGAAGGUCUUCGGAUCGUAAAACUCUGUUAUUAGGGAAGAACAUAUGUGUAAGUAACUGUGCACAUCUUGACGGUACCUAAUCAGAAAGCCACGGCUAACUACGUGCCAGCAGCCGCGGUAAUACUUAGGUGGCAAGCGUUAUCCGGAAUUAUUGGGCGUAAAGCGCGCGUACGCGGUUUUUUAAGUCUGAUGUGAAAGCCCACGGCUCAACCGUGGAGGGUCAUUGGAAACUGGAAAACUUGAGUGCAGAAGAGGAAAGUGGAAUCCCAUGUGUAGCGGUGAAAUGCGCAGAGAUGUGGAGGAACACCAGUGGCGAAGGCGACUUUCUGGUCUGUAACUGACGCUGAUGUGCGAAAGCGUGGGGAUCAAACAGGAUUAGAUACCCUGGUAGUCCACGCCGUAAACGAUGAGUGCUAAGUGUUAGGGGGUUUCCGCCCCUUAGUGCUGCAGCUAACGCAUUAAGCACUCCGCCUGGGGAGUACGACCGCAAGGUUGAAACUCAAAGGAAUUGACGGGGGCCCGCACAAGCGGUGGAGCAUGUGGUUUAAUUCGAAGCAACGCGAAGAACCUUACCAAAUCUUGACAUCCCUUGACAACUCUAGAGAUAGAGCCUUCCCCUUCGGGGGACAAAGUGACAGGUGGUGCAUGGUUGUCGUCAGCUCGUGUCGUGAGAUGUUGGGUUAAGUCCCGCAACGAGCGCAACCCUUAAGCUUAGUUGCCAUCAUUAAGUUGGGCACUCUAAGUUGACUGCCGGUGACAAACCGGAGGAAGGUGGGGAUGACGUCAAAUCAUCAUGCCCCUUAUGAUUUGGGCUACACACGUGCUACAAUGGACAAUACAAAGGGCAGCGAAACCGCGAGGUCAAGCAAAUCCCAUAAAGUUGUUCUCAGUUCGGAUUGUAGUCUGCAACUCGACUACAUGAAGCUGGAAUCGCUAGUAAUCGUAGAUCAGCAUGCUACGGUGAAUACGUUCCCGGGUCU
Molecule: ribosomal RNA, 1372 nt
Filed under: uncultured bacterium
Lineage: Bacteria
Description: bacterial SSU rRNA
Rfam family: Bacterial small subunit ribosomal RNA
Source: RNAcentral